This 393-nucleotide ribosomal RNA is filed under the name uncultured bacterium. RNAcentral's name for it is "partial 16S ribosomal RNA". It matches the Rfam family "Bacterial small subunit ribosomal RNA", at positions 523 to 918 of the family's 1533-position model. The record is from RNAcentral.
AUACGGAGGAUCCGAGCGUUAUCCGGAUUUAUUGGGUUUAAAGGGAGCGUAGGUGGAUUGUUAAGUCAGUUGUGAAAGUUUGCGGCUCAACCGUAAAAUUGCAGUUGAAACUGGCAGUCUUGAGUACAGUAGAGGUGGGCGGAAUUCGUGGUGGAGCGGGGAAAUGCUUAGAUAUCACGAAGAACUCCGAUUGCGAAGGCAGCUCACUAGACUGUUACUGACACUGAUGCUCGAAAGUGUGGGUAUCAAACAGGAUUAGAUACCCUGGUAGUCCACACAGUAAACGAUGAAUACUCGCUGUUUGCGAUAUACAGUAAGCGGCCAAGCGAAAGCAUUAAGUAUUCCACCUGGGGAGUACGCCGGCAACGGUGAAACUCAAAUGAAUUGACGGGG